UUAUGAGAGUUUGAUCCUGGCUCAGGACGAACGCUGGCGGCGUGCCUAAUACAUGCAAGUCGAACGCUUUUUCUUUCACCGGAGCUUGCUCCACCGAAAGAAAAAGAGUGGCGAACGGGUGAGUAACACGUGGGUAACCUGCCCAUCAGAAGGGGAUAACACUUGGAAACAGGUGCUAAUACCGUAUAACACUAUUUUCCGCAUGGAAGAAAGUUGAAAGGCGCUUUUGCGUCACUGAUGGAUGGACCCGCGGUGCAUUAGCUAGUUGGUGAGGUAACGGCUCACCAAGGCAACGAUGCAUAGCCGACCUGAGAGGGUGAUCGGCCACACUGGGACUGAGACACGGCCCAGACUCCUACGGGAGGCAG
This 368-nucleotide ribosomal RNA is filed under the name Listeria monocytogenes. RNAcentral describes it as "bacterial SSU rRNA". It matches the Rfam family "Bacterial small subunit ribosomal RNA", at positions 1 to 351 of the family's 1533-position model. The record is from RNAcentral. Lineage: Bacteria; Bacillati; Bacillota; Bacilli; Caryophanales; Listeriaceae.